This is a long non-coding RNA of Oreochromis aureus, 456 nucleotides long. The record is from Ensembl. NCBI's taxonomy places the organism in Eukaryota, Metazoa, Chordata, Actinopteri, Cichliformes, Cichlidae.
ACAGAGAGACAGUUCAUAAUGGAUAUAAGGAAGUUUUUUCAAAAAAAGGAGCCACAUUCAGUCCAAAGAGGGAGAGAGGAAAGAGGGAACAUGAGGAGAAACAAGGUCAGGAAGAACCAGCUCCUCGUUUAGAUCUCCGUGGACCUGCACCUAGUGAUGAUGAGAUGAAGCCUCGUGAUGAAUUGAAGCUUUCCAUCCAACUGGUCGACUCAUGGUUCGAAGCAUUCUGAUGAGUCAUUUGCUCUACUGCGCCACCAAGUGGACAAGUCAAGUGAAACAGGCUCAGUGAUUAUAAUGAUGUGAUGUGUAAACCUCUAAACUGAAUAAAUAAAUUGUUUUCAUGGUUAUUUAUCACGAAUAUUGUCUCAGUAUGUCUGAUACAAAACAGAAAGUGGAAACUAUCAGGACAGAGUUUUGGUAUGAUUGUGUAACUGUGUAAUCAUGUUUAUGUACAUC